Brassica rapa (field mustard) is the source of this 493-nucleotide long non-coding RNA. RefSeq lists it as uncharacterized. The record is from RefSeq and is a predicted model, not a curated record. Lineage: Eukaryota; Viridiplantae; Streptophyta; Magnoliopsida; Brassicales; Brassicaceae.
UUCGUUUGAUUAGACAAUAAUCAGGGCGUUUGGGUGUCUUUCUUAUGCGCUUAGGCAACCGAUAUUAAGAGCAGUGUUUCAUGCAUACUGUACCAGUACUACCGUCUACAAAUACAUUCGUAGUUUUCCUAUUAUUUUUUCAAUGCACAUGGUGCGACUUUGUAUCAAAUGGGAAAUGUAGGUGAAAUAAUAAUAAUUAUUAAACACUAUUAAGAAAGUAAGAUAUAGAGAGACGAAGGUGUGCAGAAGUAACCAAAAUAUAAUUUAAUAACCAACAUUUCUUGUUUCACAUAAAGAGAUAAUGCAUAACAUAACGAAGAGAUUGGAGUGUUGCAUAUCAAGUUAUAAGCAAAUAGCACGUUGUUUGUUUUGCAACGGUGUCUGAUUCAUUUUCUUUUCCACGAAGAUGAUGAGAAAAUCAGAAAUUUAAUCGAAAUGGGCAUAUUGAUGGUAUUGUGACGUAUAACUAUUAACUACUAUCACACCUAUUCAG